UACGUAGGGUCCAAGCGUUAUCCGGAAUUACUGGGCGUAAAGCGUGUGUAGGCGGAUGUUUAAGUGCAACGCGAAAUCCUGUGGCUCAACCAUAUGGACUGUGUUGCAUACUGGGCAUCUUGAGGAUGGCAGAGGCAAGUGGAAUUUGUAGUGUAGCAGUGAAAUGCGUAGAUAUUACAAGGAACACCAAUGGCGAAGGCAGCUUGCUGGGCCAUAUCUGACGCUGAGACACGAAAGCGUGGGGAGCGAACAGG
This 254-nucleotide ribosomal RNA is filed under the name uncultured bacterium. Its description in RNAcentral is "partial 16S ribosomal RNA". It matches the Rfam family "Bacterial small subunit ribosomal RNA", at positions 524 to 776 of the family's 1533-position model. The record is from RNAcentral.